CCCUUAGAUGUUCUGGGCCGCACGCGCGCUACACUGAUGCAUUCAACGAGCCUAUCCUUGACCGACAGGUCCGGGUAAUCUUUGAAUCUGCAUCGUGACGGGGAUAGAUUAUUGCAAUUAUUAAUCUUCAACGAGGAAUGCCUAGUAGGCGCAAGUCAUCAGCUUGCGUCGAUUACGUCCCUGCCCUUUUUACACACCGCCCGUCGCUCCUACCGAUUGGGUGUGCUGGUGAAAUGUUCGGAUCGGCCGUUUGUCGCGGUUUCCGCGUCAUGUGGCUGAGAAGUUCAUUAAACCCUCCCACCUAGAGGAAGGAGAAGUCGUAACA
RNAcentral lists this ribosomal RNA (325 nucleotides) under uncultured eukaryote. RNAcentral's name for it is "partial 18S ribosomal RNA". It matches the Rfam family "Eukaryotic small subunit ribosomal RNA", at positions 1470 to 1796 of the family's 1831-position model. The record is from RNAcentral.